Molecule: non-coding RNA, 135 nt
Organism: Triticum aestivum (bread wheat)
Lineage: Eukaryota; Viridiplantae; Streptophyta; Magnoliopsida; Poales; Poaceae
Source: Rfam
UACAUAUUCCCUCCAUCUUAAAAUUCUUGUCUUAAAUUUGUCUAAAUACGGAUGCUUCAAGUCAUGUUUUAGUAUUAGAUACAUCUGUAUCUAGACAAAUUUAAGACAAGCAUUUUGGGACGGAGAGAGUAUAUG